GUUAAGCGACUAAGCGUACACGGUGGAUGCCCUGGCAGUCAGAGGCGAUGAAGGACGUGCUAAUCUGCGAAAAGCGUCGGUAAGGUGAUAUGAACCGUUAUAGCCGGCGAUGUCCGAAUGGGGAAACCCAGUGCAAUUCGUUGCACUAUCGUUAACUGAAUCCAUAGGUUAACGAGGCGAACCGGGGGAACUGAAACAUCUAAGUACCCCGAGGAAAAGAAAUCAACCGAGAUUCCCCCAGUAGCGGCGAGCGAACGGGGAGCAGCCCAGAGCCUGAAUCAGCAUGUGUGGUAGUGGAACGGUCUGGAAAGGCCGGCGAUACAGGGUGACAGCCCCGUACACAAAAUUGCAUGUGCUGUGAGCUCGAUGAGUAGGGCGGGACACGUGGUAUCCUGUCUGAAUAUGGGGGGACCAUCCUCCAAGGCUAAAUACUCCUGACUGACCGAUAGUGAACCAGUACCGUGAGGGAAAGGCGAAAAGAACCCCGGCGAGGGGAGUGAAAAAGAACCUGAAACCGUGUACGUA
This 525-nucleotide ribosomal RNA is filed under the name Citrobacter amalonaticus. RNAcentral's name for it is "partial 23S ribosomal RNA". It matches the Rfam family "Bacterial large subunit ribosomal RNA", at positions 1 to 566 of the family's 2925-position model. Lineage: Bacteria; Pseudomonadati; Pseudomonadota; Gammaproteobacteria; Enterobacterales; Enterobacteriaceae. The record is from RNAcentral.